This 484-nucleotide ribosomal RNA is filed under the name uncultured bacterium. RNAcentral describes it as "partial 16S ribosomal RNA". It matches the Rfam family "Bacterial small subunit ribosomal RNA", at positions 29 to 507 of the family's 1533-position model. The record is from RNAcentral.
AUUGAACGCUGGCGGCAUGCUUUACACAUGCAAGUCGAACGGCAGCGCGGGCUUCGGCCUGGCGGCGAGUGGCGAACGGGUGAGUAAUACAUCGGAACGUGCCCAGUAGUGGGGGAUAGCUCGGCGAAAGCCGGAUUAAUACCGCAUACGACCUGAGGGUGAAAGCGGGGGAUCUUCGGACCUCGCGCUAUUGGAGCGGCCGAUGGCAGAUUAGCUAGUUGGUGGGGUAAAGGCCUACCAAGGCGACGAUCUGUAGCUGGUCUGAGAGGACGACUAGCCACACUGGGACUGAGACACGGCCCAGACUCCUACGGGAGGCAGCAGUGGGGAAUUUUGGACAAUGGGCGAAAGCCUGAUCCAGCAAUGCCGCGUGUGUGAUGAAGGCCUUCGGGUUGUAAAGCACUUUUGGCGGGAACGAAAAGGACCGUGCCAAUACCACGGUUCGAUGGCGGUACCCGCAGAAUAAGCACCGGCUAACUACGUG